This 502-nucleotide ribosomal RNA is filed under the name uncultured bacterium. RNAcentral's name for it is "bacterial SSU rRNA". It matches the Rfam family "Bacterial small subunit ribosomal RNA", at positions 10 to 507 of the family's 1533-position model. The record is from RNAcentral.
AGUUUGAUCCUGGCUCAGAUUGAACGCUGGCGGCAUGCCUUACACAUGCAAGUCGAACGGCAGCACGGACUUCGGUCUGGUGGCGAGUGGCGAACGGGUGAGUAAUAUAUCGGAACAUACCCUAGAGUGGGGGAUAACGUAGCGAAAGUUACGCUAAUACCGCAUACGAACUAAGGUUGAAAGCGGGGGAUCUUCGGACCUCGUGCUCAUGGAGUGGCCGAUAUCUGAUUAGCUAGUUGGUGAGGUAAAGGCUCACCAAGGCGACGAUCAGUAGCUGGUUUGAGAGAACGACCAGCCACACUGGAACUGAGACACGGUCCAGACUCCUACGGGAGGCAGCAGUGGGGAAUUUUGGACAAUGGGCGCAAGCCUGAUCCAGCAAUGCCGCGUGAGUGAAGAAGGCCUUCGGGUUGUAAAGCUCUUUUGUCAGGGAAGAAACGGUGAGUCCUAAUAUGGCUUGCUAAUGACGGUACCUGAAGAAUAAGCACCGGCUAACUACGUG